This 254-nucleotide ribosomal RNA is filed under the name uncultured bacterium. Its description in RNAcentral is "partial 16S ribosomal RNA". It matches the Rfam family "Bacterial small subunit ribosomal RNA", at positions 524 to 776 of the family's 1533-position model. The record is from RNAcentral.
GACGAACCGUGCAACCGUUGUUCGGAAUCACUGGGCUUAAAGGGCGCGUAGGCGGGCAAGCAAGUCCGGGGUGAAAUCUUUCGGCCCAACCGGAAAAGGGCCUUGGAUACUGCUUGUCUGGAGGGAGGUAGGGGCAGACGGAACUUCCGGGUGUAGCGGUGGAAUGCGCAGAUAUCAGGAGGAACACCGGUGGCGAAGGCGGGUCUCUGGGCAGUAACUGACGCUGAGGAGCGAAAGCGUGGGGAGCGAACAGG